Molecule: ribosomal RNA, 253 nt
Filed under: uncultured bacterium
Lineage: Bacteria
Description: partial 16S ribosomal RNA
Rfam family: Bacterial small subunit ribosomal RNA
Source: RNAcentral
UACGAAGGGGGCUAGCGUUGCUCGGAUUGACUGGGCGUAAAGGGCGCGCAGGCGGUUCGGCACGUCCGUUGUGAAAUCGCUCGGCUCAACUGGGCGGGGUCAGCGGAUACGGUCGAACUUGAGCAAGCUAGGGGGCAAUGGAAUUCCCGGUGUAGUGGUGGAAUGCGUAGAUAUCGGGAGGAACACCAGUGGCGAAGGCGGUUGCCUGGAGCUUUGCUGACGCUGAGGCGCGAAAGCGUGGGGAGCGAUCCGG